Acanthosepion pharaonis is the source of this 101-nucleotide non-coding RNA. NCBI's taxonomy places the organism in Eukaryota, Metazoa, Mollusca, Cephalopoda, Sepiida, Sepiidae. The record is from the annotation of a GenBank genome assembly.
AUGUUGAAACACCUGUUCCCGUAGGAUCACCAAAGUUAAGCAAUCACAAGCCUUGUCCGUACCUUGAUGGGCGACCGCUUGGAAAUGCCAAGUGUCGUAAG